GGACACACGUGUAUACAGAGAGAGGUGCGCGCGCGCACACGCAACGUCGUACGCUUCCAACUUCUCCUCCUUCUCCUCCUCGCUCCGUCUUCGUCUCCUCGUCGAACAACUCGCUCGCUCGCUCUUUCUACCUCCCCGCGCGUAUUCCAGUUUCCCCUCUCUUUUGGCCACCUCCCCACCAUGGAAAACCCUCUACCCCCCGACUCCGCGUACCCGGCGGCUUUAUCCACCCUGAACCCUCCCGUAUAUAUAUACGCGCGAGGGUUGCCUCGACCGAUCGGACGCUCGCGAGUACGACGCAAAUUCUCUCCUCUCGCUUUCAUAUUCUUAUUCCGCUUUCCAUUUUUCUUUUACUCAAAAUCCCCACAAGGAUGGUACGCGCCCACUUAACUUACAAAGCUCGCAAUCUUGGCGCGCGCCUACCUCGAGCUUUUCCUCUUUGCGAUCGGAUAUUUUCGGAUUUGGACGCCACGCGAACACCGCUAGACUCUCCUCUCCUUUCCUUUAUUUCUUCUUCCUCGUGCUCGAUCUUUCGAAAUAAUUGAUUUUCGAUGUACGAGAAACGUUAGCGCCUGUCGUUGAUGCGAUAUCAAAUGUACGUAUCGAUCGAUCGAAAUGAAAACUCUCAAACUCGGUGAAAAUCCGACAGCCGUGCCCGUUUUUCGUUGUCUUCGCAGCGAGAACCGAAAUAGACUGAAGCACGCGUAGAAUGCGUAAAAGAAGGAAGAUAUUUCGUAUAGACGUUUAGGACAAAAGCAAGGAGAAAUUUUCUUUUUUAAUUAAUAAAUGACGAAAGUCCAAUUUCCCUAAUGGACGAUAAAACAAAAUGAAGAAUGCAUAGCGAAAGUAUUUUGUUUUCGAUUCUUGUAAGAAGCCGUGCUAAAAGUACUCGGUCCCUUUGAGGAAAAAAGAAAGUUGAUUCGAUAGAAUCGACUGUUUAAAGACAAAAGUAAUACGUUCCGUCAAAAUGUCCAGAAUUUAUUCUCUCGUCCUUUCUCGUAGUUUAUUACGAUCGCAGCUCUUUUGUCGAUAGAACGUGUCGGCCAGUAAUGUCAGCGCUAUUCAAUAUUCAUAGCUAUUAGUCAUCGAUAAAUUCGGAGAACCGAUACUUGGCUCUUUGUAAAAAUUAAACAAAACCAUCGGUCCUACUCUGAAUGGACGACAAAGAAGAUAGCGCGACGGAGGAGCAAGGAGGGAGCGACAUACGCAACGAGACGGUAAGUCGUUCGUCUUGAGAAGGAGCUCUGAGAAGAACACGUAGGGGCCUUGGAACAUGAAACUGCUGUUCGUUCGAGAAGUGUCGCAAUACGAUGAGCAGAGACUGCAACGGGGCGCUGACGUAAUCGUUCGCCGCGUUUAUGCGUACACCACACCGUGAAAGAGAGCAAGAUUGCUUCUCUCUCUCUCUCUCUCCGUCCGUCCGUACUUCGCUGCGUUCGAAAUUCAACUAAUGCUCCUAAACACAGUGCUGAACAAUUCGAGAACAGGAUUCUAUUCGAUCGAACGUUAACGAAAACAAAUUUAACCGAGACUCGUAACGAGCGAUUCGUUGAUUGUUGAAAUCUUUCUACGGUAAAAAUAUCUCGAAUAACGAGACAUAUUGCCAAGUCAAAGAGAAGGUUUCGUCAAGUUCGCCUUCGUUUAACCGCCCACUUGUUAUCGAGAGUUCCUGAUUAAGGUCAAUGUAAAGACACGAACGAGAUGGGAACGUAAUGCGUUCGAUGACGGAAGAAAAGGGAGUUUUACGUAGAAAUCCUUGGCUCGUACUCGUAAAAAAGCACUGCGGGCGGUUCAAUCUGCGGACCCCACCUAUGGUUACUUCUGCCUUCAAAAAUUCAAUAUUAGCGGAGCAUCCAUUUUUUUAAAAUGAUUCCAUCGUAUAUAUAAUGUAUUUUGUUUCUUGGGAGCACGAUCAAAUCGCUAAUAGCGAUUAAAAGAAAAAGAGCUCGCUGUAGGCGUCUUUAAAAACAAUAGUUUAUUUAUUAUUCGUUUAAUCGACGAACGUAACUAGUUUUCUUUUAUUGUUCCUUCUUUUUUUGUUGUUUUUUUCUUAGACAUGCGUAUUCAUAGUCUAAACGAAGUAAUAAAUAAGUUUUAAAUAAUUGCAUUGGAAUGACUUAAAAUAAAGUGUGAUAGUAGAGAGAUUGAGUUGCGUGACUCAUUCGUGAUAAGAUAUCUGCGAACUAGGGUACAGGCCUUUAUCGAAUGCAAAUGAAUAAUAUCUUAAAGUUUCAAAUUAAAAUAUCUAUUAUACGUGUAUUUGACUAGGGCCCGUAGUCUUACAAUCUAACAAAAAAGCGAUAUACUACCUUCGGUAAAAAUUACUCGCGUAGACACCUAUAUGGAUAUAUUUUACAAGGCACUUAUUGUCGAAUUUAUUUAAAACUAUCAGUAAAUUGUCUCGUAAGAAAUAAUAACGUCUCUUAAAUAAAUGAUAUCGCAAUAAUUAUUGUCGAUACCGUAA
Vespula vulgaris is the source of this 2464-nucleotide long non-coding RNA. RefSeq lists it as uncharacterized. Lineage: Eukaryota; Metazoa; Arthropoda; Insecta; Hymenoptera; Vespidae. The record is from RefSeq and is a predicted model, not a curated record. The transcript is spliced from 2 exons.